CUACGUGCCAGCAGCCGCGGUAAUACGGAAGGUCCAGGCGUUAUCCGGAUUUAUUGGGUUUAAAGGGAGUGUAGGCGGUUUGUUAAGCGUGUUGUGAAAUUUAGAUGCUCAACAUUUAACUUGCAGCGCGAACUGUCAGACUUGAGUACACGCAACGUAUGCGGAAUUCAUGGUGUAGCGGUGAAAUGCUUAGAUAUCAUGAAGAACUCCGAUUGCGAAGGCAGCAUACGGGAGUGUAACUGACGCUUAAGCUCGAAGGUGCGGGUAUCGAACAGGAUUAGAUACCCUGGUAGUCCGCACAGUAAACGAUAGAUGCCCGCUGUUAGCGCCUGGCGUUAGCGGCUAAGCGAAAGCAUUAAGCAUCCCACCUGGGGAGUACGCCGGCAACGGUGAAACUCAAAGGAAUUGACGGAGGCCCGCACAAGCGGAGGAACAUGUGGUUUAAUUCGAUGAUACGCGAGGAACCUUACCCGGGCUUGAAUUGCAGAGGAAUUAUUUAGAGAUA
Molecule: ribosomal RNA, 505 nt
Filed under: uncultured bacterium
Lineage: Bacteria
Description: bacterial SSU rRNA
Rfam family: Bacterial small subunit ribosomal RNA
Source: RNAcentral